RNAcentral lists this ribosomal RNA (440 nucleotides) under uncultured bacterium. Its description in RNAcentral is "partial 16S ribosomal RNA". It matches the Rfam family "Bacterial small subunit ribosomal RNA", at positions 338 to 795 of the family's 1533-position model. The record is from RNAcentral.
CCUACGUGAGGCAGCAGUGGGGAAUAUUGCACAAUGGGGGAAACCCUGAUGCAGCGACGCCGCGUGAGUGAAGCAGUAAUUCGUUAUGUAAAGCUCUAUCAGCAGGGAAGAAAAUGACGGUACCUGAGUAAGAAGCCCCGGCUAACUAAGUGCCAGCAGCCGCGGUAAUACGUAGGGGGCAAGCGUUAUCCGGAUUUACUGGGUGUAAAGGGAGCGUAGACGGCAGUGCAAGUCUGGAGUGAAAGGCGGGGGCUCAACCCCCGGACUGCUCUUGAAACUGUACGGCUGGAGUGCAGGAGAGGUAAGUGGAAUUCCUAGUGUAGCGGUGAAAUGCGUAGAUAUUAGGAGGAACACCAGUGGCGAAGGCGGCUUACUGGACUGUAACUGACGUUGAGGCUCGAAAGCGUGGGGAGCAAACAGGAUUAGAUACCCUGGUAGUC